RNAcentral lists this ribosomal RNA (301 nucleotides) under uncultured bacterium. RNAcentral's name for it is "partial 16S ribosomal RNA". It matches the Rfam family "Bacterial small subunit ribosomal RNA", at positions 509 to 807 of the family's 1533-position model. The record is from RNAcentral.
CAGUCGCCGCGGUAAUACGAAGGGGGCUAGCGUUGUUCGGAAUUACUGGGCGUAAAGCGCACGUAGGCGGAUAUUUAAGUCAGGGGUGAAAUCCCAGAGCUCAACUCUGGAACUGCCUUUGAUACUGGGUAUCUUGAGUAUGGAAGAGGUUAGUGGAAUUGCGAGUGUAGAGGUGAAAUUCGUAGAUAUUCGCAGGAACACCAGUGGCGAAGGCGGCUAACUGGUCCAUAACUGACGCUGAGGUGCGAAAGCGUGGGGAGCAAACCGGAUUAGAUACCCGCGUAGUCCCUGUCUCUUAUAC